UACAGAGGUGGCAAGCGUUGUUCGGAAUUACUGGGCGUAAAGGGCGCGUAGGCGGCCUUCUAAGUCAGACGUGAAAUCCCCCGGCUUAACCUGGGAACUGCGUCUGAUACUGGGAGGCUUGAGUAUGGGAGAGGGAUGUAGAAUUCCAGGUGUAGCGGUGAAAUGCGUAGAUAUCUGGAGGAAUACCGGUGGCGAAGGCGGCAUCCUGGACCAUAACUGACGCUGAGACGCGAAAGCGUGGGGAGCAAACAGG
This 253-nucleotide ribosomal RNA is filed under the name uncultured bacterium. Its description in RNAcentral is "partial 16S ribosomal RNA". It matches the Rfam family "Bacterial small subunit ribosomal RNA", at positions 524 to 776 of the family's 1533-position model. The record is from RNAcentral.